CGUAGGGUGCGAGCGUUAAUCGGAAUUACUGGGCGUAGAGCGUGCGCAGGCGGUUUUGUAAGACAGAUGUGAAAUCCCCGGGCUCAACCUGGGACCUGCAUUUGUGACUGCAAGGCUAGAGUACGGUAGAGGGGGAUGGAAUUCCGCGUGUAGCAGUGAAAUGCGUAGAUAUGCGGAGGAACACCGAUGGCGAAGGCAAUCCCCUGGACCUGUACUGACGCUCAUGCACGAAAGCGUGGGGAGCAAACAGGAUUAGAUACCCUGGUAGUCCACGCCCUAAACGAUGUCAACUGGUUGUUGGGUCUUUACUGACUCAAUAACGAAGCUAACGCGUGAAGUUGACCGCCUGGGGAGUACGGCCGCAAGGUUG
RNAcentral lists this ribosomal RNA (370 nucleotides) under uncultured organism. Its description in RNAcentral is "bacterial SSU rRNA". It matches the Rfam family "Bacterial small subunit ribosomal RNA", at positions 526 to 896 of the family's 1533-position model. The record is from RNAcentral.